Arachis ipaensis is the source of this 325-nucleotide non-coding RNA. Lineage: Eukaryota; Viridiplantae; Streptophyta; Magnoliopsida; Fabales; Fabaceae. The record is from RefSeq and is a predicted model, not a curated record.
UAUUCUAUCCCACUGUUCUGAUUAUUGUUGGUGUCUCUGCUGCCUUAUUCACUCAAAUUAAUGCUAUCGCGGCCAGAACGGGUUUCCUGGUCUGAUUUCUGCUCCUUGCGGCUCCACCGUUCUGUUUCUCUGUAGCUGUAUUACUGUCAUUGCAAUUCAUAUUGACACGGUUGUUAUAAGAGGUGUCAGGGCUGUUGUUGUUUCCAUGGGGGUUAUUGUUGUCACUGUCGCCAUGAAUUGAAAGAAAAGGGAAUUAUCACGAUAAGUUACGUGGACUCAGCUAACUGAGGUUGAAAACUCGAUACUCUGUUGACCCUACGAUGUA